CGGGGGGAGCAAAGCGUUGUUCGGAUUUACUGGGCGUAAAGGGCGCGUAGGCGGCCACCGCAAGUCGACUGUGAAAUCUCCGGGCUUAACCCGGAAAGGUCAGCCGAUACUGCGGGGCUAGAGUGCAGAAGGGGCAACUGGAAUUCUCGGUGUAGCGGUGAAAUGCGUAGAUAUCGAGAGGAACACCUGCGGCGAAGGCGGGUUGCUGGGCUGACACUGACGCUGAGGCGCGAAAGCUAGGGGAGCGAACGGGAUUAGAUACCCCGGUAGUCCUAGCCUUAAACGAUGAAUGCUUGGUGUCUGGGGUUUUAUAGUCCCCGGGUGCCGUCGCUAACGCUUUAAGCAUUCCGCCGUGGGGAGUACGGUCGCAAGACUG
RNAcentral lists this ribosomal RNA (376 nucleotides) under uncultured organism. RNAcentral's name for it is "bacterial SSU rRNA". It matches the Rfam family "Bacterial small subunit ribosomal RNA", at positions 526 to 896 of the family's 1533-position model. The record is from RNAcentral.